Molecule: ribosomal RNA, 815 nt
Filed under: Isochrysis galbana
Lineage: Eukaryota; Haptophyta; Isochrysidales; Isochrysidaceae
Description: SSU rRNA
Rfam family: Eukaryotic small subunit ribosomal RNA
Source: RNAcentral
CUAAGUAUAAGCGAGUAUACUGUGAAACUGCGAAUGGCUCAUUAAAUCAGUUAUGGUUUAUUUGAUGGUACCUUGCUACUUGGAUAACCGUAGUAAUUCUAGAGCUAAUACAUGCAGGAGUUCCCGACUUCGGAAGGGAUGUAUUUAUUAGAUAAGAAACCAAACCGGUCUCCGGUUGCGUGCUGAGUCAUACUAACUGCUCGAAUCGCACGGCUUUACGCUGGCGAUGGUUCAUUCAAAUUUCUGCCCUAUCAGCUUUCGAUGGUAGGAUAGAGGCCUACCAUGGCGUUAACGGGUAACGGAGAAUUAGGGUUCGAUUCCGGAGAGGGAGCCUGAGAAAUGGCUACCACAUCCAAGGAAGGCAGCAGGCGCGUAAAUUGCCCGAAUCCUGACACAGGGAGGUAGUGACAAGAAAUAACAAUACAGGGCUCUUCGAGUCUUGUAAUUGGAAUGAGUACAAUUUACAUCUCUUCACGAGGAUCAAUUGGAGGGCAAGUCUGGUGCCAGCAGCCGCGGUAAUUCCAGCUCCAAUAGCGUAUAUUAAAGUUGUUGCAGUUAAAACGCUCGUAGUCGGAUUUCGGGGCGGGCCCGCCGGUCUGCCGAUGGGUACGCACUGGCGGGCGCGUCCUUCCUCCCGGAGACGGCCGCUACUCUUAACUGAGCGGUGGUCGGAGACGGGAUGUUUACUUUGAAAAAAUCAGAGUGUUUCAAGCAGGCAGUCGCUCUUGCAUGGAUUAGCAUGGGAUAAUGAAAUAGGACUCUGGUGCUAUUUUGUUGGUUUCGAGCACCGGAGUAAUGAUUAACAGGGACAGUCA